AGGACGAACGCUGGCGGCGUGCUUAACACAUGCAAGUCGAGCGGUGAUCCUCCUUCGGGAGGUGAUCAGCGGCGAACGGGUGAGUAACACGUGGGCAACCUGCCCCUCACACUGGGAUAACCUCGGGAAACCGGGGCUAAUACCGGAUACGACCUCGAGCGGCAUCUCUUGAGGUGGAAAGCUCCGACGGUGAGGGAUGGGCCCGCGGCCUAUCAGCUUGUUGGGGGGGUGACGGCCCACCAAGGCGACGACGGGUA
This 257-nucleotide ribosomal RNA is filed under the name uncultured bacterium. Its description in RNAcentral is "partial small subunit ribosomal RNA". It matches the Rfam family "Bacterial small subunit ribosomal RNA", at positions 26 to 285 of the family's 1533-position model. The record is from RNAcentral.